This 431-nucleotide ribosomal RNA is filed under the name uncultured bacterium. RNAcentral's name for it is "bacterial SSU rRNA". It matches the Rfam family "Bacterial small subunit ribosomal RNA", at positions 29 to 507 of the family's 1533-position model. The record is from RNAcentral.
AACGAACGCUGGCGGCAGGCCUAACACAUGCAAGUCGAGCGCCCCGCAAGAGGAGCGGCGGACGGGUGAGUAACGCGUGGGAACGUGCCCCAAGGUACGGAAUAGCCCCGGGAAACUGGGGGUAAUACCGUAUGUGCCCUACGGGGGAAAGAUUUAUCGCCUUGGGAUCGGCCCGCGUUGGAUUAGGUAGUUGGUGGGGUAAUGGCCUACCAAGCCGACGAUCCAUAGCUGGUUUGAGAGGAUGAUCAGCCACACUGGGACUGAGACACGGCCCAGACUCCUACGGGAGGCAGCAGUGGGGAAUCUUAGACAAUGGGCGCAAGCCUGAUCUAGCCAUGCCGCGUGAGCGAUGAAGGCCUUAGGGUUGUAAAGCUCUUUCAGGGGGGAAGAUAAUGACUGUACCCCCAGAAGAAGCCCCGGCUAACUCCGUG